RNAcentral lists this ribosomal RNA (406 nucleotides) under uncultured bacterium. RNAcentral's name for it is "bacterial SSU rRNA". It matches the Rfam family "Bacterial small subunit ribosomal RNA", at positions 355 to 774 of the family's 1533-position model. The record is from RNAcentral.
UGGGGAAUCUUGCACAAUGGGGCAACCGUAGCAUGCAGCGACGCCGCGUGAGCGAUGAAGCCCUUCGGGGUGUGAAAGCUCUUUCGUCAGGGACGAUAAUGACGGUACCUGGAGAAGCAGCUGCGGCUAACUACGUGCCAGCAGCCGCGGUAAUACGUAGGCAGCGAGCGUUGUUCGGAGUUACUGGGCGUAAAGGGUGUGUAGGCGGUUUUCUAAGUUUGGUGUGAAAUCUCCCGGCUCAACCGGGAGGGUGCGCCGAAAACUGGGAGACUAGAGUGCGGGAUGGGAGAGUAGAAUUCCUGGUGUAGCGGUGAAAUGCGUAGAUAUCAGGAGGAAUACCGGUGGUGUAGACGGCUUCUUCUGGACCGCCACUGACGCUGAGACACGAAAGCGUGGGUAGCAAACA